Molecule: ribosomal RNA, 502 nt
Filed under: uncultured bacterium
Lineage: Bacteria
Description: bacterial SSU rRNA
Rfam family: Bacterial small subunit ribosomal RNA
Source: RNAcentral
CUCCUACGGGAGGCAGCAGUGGGGAAUAUUGCACAAUGGGGGAAACCCUGAUGCAGCGACGCCGCGUGAAGGAUGAAGUAUUUCGGUAUGUAAACUUCUAUCAGCAGGGAAGAAAAUGACGGUACCUGACUAAGAAGCCCCGGCUAACUACGUGCCAGCAGCCGCGGUAAUACGUAGGGGGCAAGCGUUAUCCGGAUUUACUGGGUGUAAAGGGAGCGUAGACGGUAUGGCAAGUCUGAUGUGAAAGGCCAGGGCUCAACCCUGGGACUGCAUUGGAAACUGUCGAACUAGAGUGUCGGAGAGGCAAGUGGAAUUCCUAGUGUAGCGGUGAAAUGCGUAGAUAUUAGGAGGAACACCAGUGGCGAAGGCGGCUUGCUGGACGAUGACUGACGUUGAGGCUCGAAAGCGUGGGGAGCAAACAGGAUUAGAUACCCUGGUAGUCCACGCCGUAAACGAUGACUACUAGGUGUCGGGUAGCAGAGCUAUUCGGUGCCGCAGCCAA